GACGAACGCUGGCGGCGUGCUUAACACAUGCAAGUCGAACGAUGAAGCCGGAGCUUGCUCUGGUGAAUUAGUGGCGAACGGGUGAGUAACACGUGAGUAACCUGCCCUUGACUCUGGGAUAACUGCGGGAAACUGUAGCUAAUACCGGAUACGACCCUCGGAGGCAUCUCCUGGGGGUGGAAAGAAUUUCGGUCAAGGAUGGACUCGCGGCCUAUCAGCUAGUUGGUGAGGUAAAGGCUCACCAAGGCGACGACGGGUAGCCGGCCGGAGAGGGUGACCGGCUACACUGGGACUGCGACACGGCCCAGACUCCUACGGGAGGCAGCAGUGGGGAAUAUUGCACAAUGGGCGCAAGCCUGAUGCAGCAACGCCGCGUGAGGGAUGACGGCCUUCGGGUUGUAAACCUCUUUUAGCAGGGAAGAAGCGAAAGUGACGGUACCUGCAGAAAAAGCACCGGCUAACUACGUGCCAGCAGCAGCCGCCG
Molecule: ribosomal RNA, 484 nt
Filed under: uncultured bacterium
Lineage: Bacteria
Description: partial 16S ribosomal RNA
Rfam family: Bacterial small subunit ribosomal RNA
Source: RNAcentral